AGAGGGUGCGAGCGUUAAUCGGAAUUACUGGGCGUAAAGCGCACGUAGGUGGAUAUUUAAGUCGGAUGUGAAAGCCCUAGGCUUAACCUGGGAAUUGCAUCCGAUACUGGAUGUCUUGAGUAUGGUAGAGGGUAGUGGAAUUUCCGGUGUAGCGGUGAAAUGCGUAGAUAUCGGAAGGAACACCAGUGGCGAAAGCGGCUAUCUGGACCAAUACUGACACUUAGGUGCGAAAGCGUGGGGAGCAAACAGGAUUAGAUACCCUGGUAGUCCACGCCGUCAACGAUGAGAACUAGCCGUUGGGAGAUUAAUUUCUUUUAGUGGCGAAGCUAACGCGUUAAGUUCUCCGCCUGGGGAGUACGGCCGCAAGGUUA
Molecule: ribosomal RNA, 371 nt
Filed under: uncultured bacterium
Lineage: Bacteria
Description: bacterial SSU rRNA
Rfam family: Bacterial small subunit ribosomal RNA
Source: RNAcentral